UCUCACCGGGGAUGGUGAGAAGUAAAUCUGGGGGAGGCGCUUAUCUGCUACUAAUCGUUUACCUUUGGUUUUAUGUUUAGAGUCAGUCCACUUUGAGUCGUUUUAAUGUCUUUAUCGAGUCAGUUUGUUAAGAUCGAGUCAGUCCAAACUUUGUGGGAAUCAGGACCUUAUUCUAUGAUGUGUGUUAACCACCCUUGUGCUUUAAUUCAUCUUAUUCAGUGACCUUAGCAGAAGCGACAGACGCACAUGUGGAUCCAGAACACCC
This 265-nucleotide long non-coding RNA is filed under the name Brassica napus (rape). Its description in RNAcentral is "long non-coding RNA (BNAP_LNC014032)". Lineage: Eukaryota; Viridiplantae; Streptophyta; Magnoliopsida; Brassicales; Brassicaceae. The record is from RNAcentral.